Molecule: ribosomal RNA, 854 nt
Filed under: Bacillus sp. (in: firmicutes)
Lineage: Bacteria; Bacillati; Bacillota; Bacilli; Caryophanales; Bacillaceae
Description: bacterial SSU rRNA
Rfam family: Bacterial small subunit ribosomal RNA
Source: RNAcentral
GGCUCAGGACGAACGCUGGCGGCGUGCCUAAUACAUGCAAGUCGAGCGGACAGAUGGGAGCUUGCUCCCUGAUGUUAGCGGCGGACGGGUGAGUAACACGUGGGUAACCUGCCUGUAAGACUGGGAUAACUCCGGGAAACCGGGGCUAAUACCGGAUGCUUGUUUGAACCGCAUGGUUCARACAUAAAAGGUGGCUUCGGCUACCACUUACAGAUGGACCCGCGGCGCAUUAGCUAGUUGGUGAGGUAACGGCUCACCAAGGCGACGAUGCGUAGCCGACCUGAGAGGGUGAUCGGCCACACUGGGACUGAGACACGGCCCAGACUCCUACGGGAGGCAGCAGUAGGGAAUCUUCCGCAAUGGACGAAAGUCUGACGGAGCAACGCCGCGUGAGUGAUGAAGGUUUUCGGAUCGUAAAGCUCUGUUGUUAGGGAAGAACAAGUGCCGUUCAAAUAGGGCGGCACCUUGACGGUACCUAACCAGAAAGCCACGGCUAACUACGUGCCAGCAGCCGCGGUAAUACGUAGGUGGCAAGCGUUGUCCGGAAUUAUUGGGCGUAAAGGGCUCGCAGGCGGUUUCUUAAGUCUGAUGUGAAAGCCCCCGGCUCAACCGGGGAGGGUCAUUGGAAACUGGGGAACUUGAGUGCAGAAGAGGAGAGUGGAAUUCCACGUGUAGCGGUGAAAUGCGUAGAGAUGUGGAGGAACACCAGUGGCGAAGGCGACUCUCUGGUCUGUAACUGACGCUGAGGAGCGAAAGCGUGGGGAGCGAACAGGAUUAGAUACCCUGGUAGUCCACGCCGUAAACGAUGAGUGCUAAGUGUUAGGGGGUUUCCGCCCCUUAGUGCUGCAGCUAAC